This 236-nucleotide ribosomal RNA is filed under the name uncultured bacterium. RNAcentral describes it as "partial 16S ribosomal RNA". It matches the Rfam family "Bacterial small subunit ribosomal RNA", at positions 15 to 233 of the family's 1533-position model. The record is from RNAcentral.
GAUCAUGGCUCAGGAUGAACGCUGGCGGCGUGCUUAACACAUGCAAGUCGAGCGAAGCGCUUAUGAAAGAUUCUUCGGAUGAAUUCAUUUGUGACUGAGCGGCGGACGGGUGAGUAACGCGUGGGUAACCUGCCUCAUACAGGGGGAUAACAGUUGGAAACGACUGCUAAUACCGCAUAAGCGCACGGUACCGCAUGGUACAGUGUGAAAAACUCCGGUGGUAUGAGAUGGACCCG